RNAcentral lists this unclassified non-coding RNA (263 nucleotides) under plant metagenome. RNAcentral describes it as "partial contains small subunit ribosomal RNA, internal transcribed spacer 1, and 5.8S ribosomal RNA". The record is from RNAcentral.
UUUCCGUAGGUGAACCUGCGGAAGGAUCAUUGUAGUAUAACCGAGGGGCGAGGGCUGUCGCUGACCCGACAGGUCGUGCACGCCCGAGUGCCCUCACACACAUCCAUCUCACCCCUAUGUGCACCACCGCGUGGGUCCCCCUUUGGCUUGUUCGGAGGGGGGCUUACGUUUUCACACAAACUUUGUAUGCAGUGUAGAAUGUAUUUUUUGUUUUUGCGAUCACGCAAUCAAUACAACUUUCAACAACGGAUCUCUUGGCUCUC